RNA transcript from Mangifera indica (mango), 2739 nucleotides. It is a transcript of the gene named CTP synthase-like, with no coding region annotated. NCBI's taxonomy places the organism in Eukaryota, Viridiplantae, Streptophyta, Magnoliopsida, Sapindales, Anacardiaceae. The record is from RefSeq and is a predicted model, not a curated record. The transcript has 22 exons.
CAUUUAUAGAUACUUGGUUUAUCAAAGGCUCAAAUCACAACCAGGAAAAACAAAACAAAACAACUGGAAGGGAAGCUACUGCCUACUAAUGUUCAUGUGGCAACAUGAAGUUGAUUUAUACGACGGCGUAGGCGUUGAUUGAAAGCCAAAACUGCCAAAAAAAGCCAGAAACGGGGACCUUUCGCGAGCCAAGAACAAGAAGGGAUGUUGAAUCCUCUUCAAUCUUUUCCCGCUCCGACAUAAACACAAACACUUUGUUAAAAAAUAUCAGUUGAUACUACGGCUACUACUACUACUUUAAUAGUAUAAAUUAGGGAGGAUGAAGUUCGUUCUGGUUACAGGAGGAGUUGUGAGUGGACUGGGUAAAGGCGUCACAGCCAGCAGCAUAGGCGUCGUCCUUAAAGCCUGUGGUCUACGCGUCACUUCCAUCAAAAUUGAUCCAUACCUUAAUACGGAUGCUGGUACCAUGUCUCCUUUUGAACAUGGGGAAGUUUUCGUUCUUGACGAUGGUGGAGAGGUUGAUUUAGAUUUGGGUAACUAUGAACGAUUCCUGGAUGUUACUCUCACAAGAGAUAACAAUAUCACCACUGGAAAGAUAUAUCAGUCUGUACUUGAGAAGGAACGGAGAGGUGAUUAUCUUGGAAAGACAGUUCAGGUGGUUCCACACAUCACAGAUGCCAUCAAGAAUUGGAUUGAGUUUGUUGCUGCUAUUCCUGUGGAUGGUAAAGAAGGCCCGGCAGAUGUUUGUGUGAUUGAGUUGGGGGGAACUGUUGGGGAUAUUGAAUCAAUGCCAUUCAUUGAGGCUUUGCGACAGCUUUCAUUUUCAGUUGGUCAAGAUAACUUUUGUCUCAUUCAUGUGAGCCUGAUACCUGUGCUUGGCGUUGUUGGUGAGCAAAAAACUAAGCCUACACAGCAUAGUGUCCGGGAAUUGAGAGCAUUAGGGUUGACACCUCAUCUCUUAGCAUGUUGCUCUGCCCAGCCUUUGUUGGCAAAUACAAAGGAGAAACUUUCUCAGUUCUGCCAUGUCCCGAUUGCAAAUGUUCUCAAUAUUCAUGAUGUUCCAAACAUUUGGCACGUUCCUCUCUUACUUCGAAGCCAAAAUGCUCAUCAUUCAAUUCUACAACAGCUAAAUUUGCUCUGCAUUGCUGCACCUCCAGAUUUACAAGCUUGGACAAAGAUGGCCGAGACUUUCGAUAAUAUCACCAAUUCUGUGAGGAUUGCUAUGGUUGGAAAGUAUGUUGGCCUUACAGACUCAUAUCUGUCUGUUGUUAAGGCUCUUUUGCAUGCAUGCAUUGCAUGUUCCCUGAAGCCAUCAAUCAACUGGAUUGCAGCUUCUGAUCUUGAAGAUGAGAGUGCAAAAUUGACACCAGAAGCACAUGCCGCUGCAUGGGAGACUUUGAGGAAUGCAGAAUGUGUCUUAGUUCCAGGUGGAUUUGGUGAUCGUGGUGUGGGAGGAAUGAUAUUGGCUGCAAAGUAUGCUAGAGAGAAUAAUGUACCCUAUCUUGGGAUUUGCUUGGGCAUGCAAAUUUCUGUAAUUGAGUUUGCUAGAUAUGUUCUGGGUUUAGAAAGGGCAAACAGUUCAGAGUUUGAUACCCAGACUUCAGAUCAUGUUGUGAUUUUCAUGCCUGAGGGUUCAAGAACACAUAUGGGAAGCACAAUGAGACUAGGCUCUCGAAAAACACUAUUCCAAACCCAUGAUUGCAUUUCUUCAAAAUUGUAUGUGAUUUAUCAACUUUCCAAUUUCAGGAGUACAUGAAGUUUGUCUGUGAAUGCAAUAUAGAACUUUUACAUUUCAUUUUGCUCCAUAAUUCUUUUAUUACUCUACAUCAAUGCAUGGCUAGAGUCCUAACUGGACCUUAGGGCGAUUAUUCUUUUAUGUCAAUGCGGUGGUUCACAGGUCACAAGGCUAGCCUUGUCCAUUUGUGUUGCCUAUCUGGCAGCAACUUAGUAUCCAAAGAGGUACUAUGAUGUGUUCUUAUAUAUUACUGCUAUGCAUGCCCAUCACAUUUUCUCUUGUUUGCUAGGUAUUGUAAUCCAAAGUAUGUGGACGAACGGCAUCGCCACAGAUAUGAGGUGAACCCAGAGAUAAUUGGGGUUCUUGAAAAAGCUGGCCUUAAAUUUGUAGGGAAGGAUGAAACUGGAAAACGAAUGGAGAUUUUGGAGCUUCCAGGUCAUCCAUAUUAUGUAGGAGUUCAGUUUCAUCCAGAGUUCAAAUCGCGACCUGGGAGGCCCUCUCCUCUGUUUUUAGGUUUGAUACUGGCGGCAACGAAGCAGUUGGAAGCAUAUAUAAAAACGAAUCAGAAUGGAAAUUGAUCUGCAAGUUUGUACUGUCUGGAUGCAAUAGCUUUUAGAAGCAAAUUUACUUCGUGCUGUCAUUUAGAGCCUAAGGUCGUUGUGGUCACAUGCUUUUGUUUGGGGUUUUGCUGGGAUAUUGCUUUCCUGAGAACAUGCUGAAGAGUGAAGACUUUGCCCAAGUAAACGUUUGCUUAUUCAUUAGUACAGUUGUGGGUAUGAUUUUUAUGUUUAAAUAUCUCCCAAACCGUGUCUUGGGAGAUUUACUAAUCAUUGAACUAUGCAUUUCAUCCAUUUUUUUCUUUCAAAUCUAAACUAUAUUCACACUGUGAAUCUAUUUAAGAAUUGAAAGAUUAAAUCUGUUUGAUUCAAUCUUAGCUGUGUACAAAGUUAGGUCAACAAAAUAAUGUGACAAUAUAGUGUUGUGAAUUAAAUCUAUUUGAUUCA